Podarcis lilfordi (Lilford's wall lizard) is the source of this 72-nucleotide non-coding RNA. The record is from the annotation of a GenBank genome assembly. Lineage: Eukaryota; Metazoa; Chordata; Lepidosauria; Squamata; Lacertidae.
GCCUGGAUAGCUCAGUUGGUUAGAACAUGGCUCUGAUAAUGCAGGUUGCAGGUUCGAUCCCCGUGCGGAGCA